GCCCAACACCUAGCCCCACAGACAAAUAAACCAACCCCCUAUUAAUUUUAUAAAAAAGAUCGAACACAAAAACAACAAAACAUUUUUCCCCCUUAGUACGGGCGACAGAAAAG
Molecule: ribosomal RNA, 113 nt
Filed under: Hime formosana
Lineage: Eukaryota; Metazoa; Chordata; Actinopteri; Aulopiformes; Aulopidae
Description: partial 16S rRNA
Source: RNAcentral